Molecule: ribosomal RNA, 252 nt
Filed under: uncultured bacterium
Lineage: Bacteria
Description: partial 16S ribosomal RNA
Rfam family: Bacterial small subunit ribosomal RNA
Source: RNAcentral
UACGUAGGUCCCGAGCGUUGUCCGGAUUUAUUGGGCGUAAAGCGAGCGCAGGUGUUUUAUUAAGUCUGGUGUAAAAGGCAGUGGCUCAACCAUUGUAUGCAUUGGAAACUGGUAGACUUGAGUGCAGGAGAGGAGAGUGGAAUUCCAUGUGUAGCGGUGAAAUGCGUAGAUAUAUGGAGGAACACCGGUGGCGAAAGCGGCUCUCUGGCCUGUAACUGACACUGAGGCUCGAAAGCGUGGGGAGCAAACAGG